RNAcentral lists this ribosomal RNA (300 nucleotides) under Triticum aestivum (bread wheat). Its description in RNAcentral is "partial small subunit ribosomal RNA". Lineage: Eukaryota; Viridiplantae; Streptophyta; Magnoliopsida; Poales; Poaceae. The record is from RNAcentral.
AUAAAUUUCUCUUUGCUAGAUGGUGUAAUGUUUACUAUGGUGAUUUUCAUACAUGCGAGAGAUGUCAAUUUUUAUCCUAAUGUCUGUAUUGCUUAUAUCUUAUUCACAGUGCAUAUAACGGUGACAUUGGUUGAAAGAAGCUUUACAAACAUACAAUUAUUGAAGAACUAUUUGAGAUCAACAAUGACCCUAGAGAGCUUAAAUGGUUUGGCAAAAUUAUGCAUCAAGAAAUUAUUUGAUGAGAUUGACAUCAACCCCAUCAUAAGUGGCUUUGCAUCGAGGAAUUUUAGAAUUUUUUAA